This 253-nucleotide ribosomal RNA is filed under the name uncultured bacterium. Its description in RNAcentral is "partial 16S ribosomal RNA". It matches the Rfam family "Bacterial small subunit ribosomal RNA", at positions 524 to 776 of the family's 1533-position model. The record is from RNAcentral.
UACGUAGGGUCCGAGCGUUGUUCGGAAUUACUGGGCGUAAAGGGCGCGUAGGCGGCCCGCUAAGUCGAACGUGAAAUCCCCGAGCUCAACUCGGGAACUGCGUCCGAUACUGGCGGGCUUGAAUCCGGGAGAGGGAUGCGGAAUUCCAGGUGUAGCGGUGAAAUGCGUAGAUAUCUGGAGGAACACCGGUGGCGAAGGCGGCAUCCUGGACCGGCAUUGACGCUGAGGCGCGAAAGCUAGGGGAGCAAACGGG